Molecule: non-coding RNA, 104 nt
Organism: Hypoxylon fuscum
Lineage: Eukaryota; Fungi; Ascomycota; Sordariomycetes; Xylariales; Hypoxylaceae
Source: the annotation of a GenBank genome assembly
GGCCUGGUGGUGUAAUGGUAAGCAUGAUCCAUCCCUGCCUGUCCACAUUCGCUGGCAGGUGGUAAAUCACAUGGAAGGUGUGGGUUCAAAUCCCACCCGGGCCA